Molecule: ribosomal RNA, 300 nt
Filed under: uncultured bacterium
Lineage: Bacteria
Description: bacterial SSU rRNA
Rfam family: Bacterial small subunit ribosomal RNA
Source: RNAcentral
GUCCACUCCGUGCAAGCGGCCUGGGUAAUGGGUAGGGGUGGGGCGUUGGCCGGAAUGAAUGGGCGUAAAGAGCGGGUAGGCGGUUCGUCGGGUCGAUUGUGAAAACUUGCAGCUCAACUGCAAGCUUGCAGUCGAUACGGGCGGACUAGAGUACUUCAGGGGAGACUGGAAUUCCUGGUGUAGCGGUGAAAUGCGCAGAGAUCAGGAGGAACACCGGUGGCGAAGGCGGGUCUCUGGGAAGUAACUGACGCUGAGAAGCGAAAGCGUGGGUAGCGAACAGGAUUAGAUACCCCAGUAGUC